CGGAAUCACUGGGCGUAAAGGGUGCGUAGGCGGCUCUUUAAGUCAGGGGUGAAAUCCUGGAGCUCAACUCCAGAACUGCCUUUGAUACUGAAGAUCUUGAGUUCGGGAGAGGUGAGUGGAACUGCGAGUGUAGAGGUGAAAUUCGUAGAUAUUCGCAAGAACACCAGUGGCGAAGGCGGCUCACUGGCCCGAUACUGACGCUGAGGCACGAAAGCGUGGGGAGCAAACAGG
This 231-nucleotide ribosomal RNA is filed under the name uncultured bacterium. RNAcentral describes it as "partial 16S ribosomal RNA". It matches the Rfam family "Bacterial small subunit ribosomal RNA", at positions 546 to 776 of the family's 1533-position model. The record is from RNAcentral.